Molecule: long non-coding RNA, 1282 nt
Organism: Cornus florida
Lineage: Eukaryota; Viridiplantae; Streptophyta; Magnoliopsida; Cornales; Cornaceae
Exons: 2
Source: RefSeq, a predicted model, not a curated record
CACAUGCUCGGUCGCAUCAUAGUUUUGGCGCCAUUGCCAGAGAUUUAACGGUUUAAAGAAUUGAAUUAGACAUUAGUUCUUUAUUGAUUGUUUAUUUUAAAUUCAUUUUAUUUUUAUCUUCUCACUUGAUAUUUGUCAAUUAGGUACUUGAAGCAAAGUGGAGCAAACACAAGACCUUGAAGCAAUAAAUUUUUUUUUUUGAAGUUAUUUAAGGACUAUUUGUAUUCGGGUGUGGGCCAGGCCAACCCAUAUCCAAAAAUCCAGGGGUAUCUGAUAAGCGCCGAAUACUGUAUAUUCAAGCGCCCUAAAUUACAUUAACAAAGUUCAUUAAUUGAUUAUUUUAUGUAGAUUAUCUCCAUUUGCAUGUUUUUGUACAUUUUCAGGUUAAAUUGCAAAAAGGAAGCAAAAAUGAUGCCUUGUGGAAUUUUGAACAAAAAGGGUGCCAAUUCUGAAAUUCUGGCAGCAGUAGAACCUGACUUUUGUCGCCAUUUUUGACCUAGUAAAAUCAAGAACUAGACUUCCAUCAUAACAUGAAAGAUUUAGAGAUCUGAAUCAGCUUUACAAAUCUUCAAGAAUUUCAUCAUUCGGAGUUCGGAGCAGAGAGUUAUGAUCUUCUUAACAGAGGUACGCAGAACUGCCUGGCAGCACUGAAGUACUGCCUUUCUCCCCAUUUUCGACCAACCAGACUUGAGAAUUGGGUCUUCAUCAAAACAUAAAGUUUUUAAAGCUCUGAAUCAGCUCUCCAAAUAUUCAAACAAAUCAUCAUUCAGAGUUUGGAGCACAAAGUUAUGGUCAUUCUUCCACAGUGGGUCAGAGAUGGGCAAGAAUUGCAUGUUGCUCAUUACACUAAUUUAGAGUGCUCGAGACCACCCUUCGAGUGCUCGAAAUUCUGGCAGAUUGCACUCAGAAAUGGCUCAAUUUCAGCCACUUUCACAUUGGUUUCCUCAAUGCCAUCUUCCUUCUUUAUGAAGCGGUUAAAGGUGUUCCUUGGAAGAGAGAGAGCCUUGACUUGAGCUUGAUAAGAGAGAGGGAGGACCACACAAAAUCAUUUAUCCUUCAUUCUAGAAGAGUAGAGGAGAGAGAAGAGAGCAAGAAAGGUGUUCUUUAAGCCUAAAGAAGGGAGCUCGAAAAUGGCUUGUCCAUCCAUGCUUCUUCCUUCUUCUAGCUCACUCAUGGGUAACUAAACUCCAUCUAGGGAGGUGAUGAAGCCUCCCCUUUUGUUCAUGUUCUAGAUUAGGUUCUAUUUUGGGGAUUAUAAUGUAUAAACUUUGGUCUUUUCAUA